This 55-nucleotide transfer RNA is filed under the name Dilophotes sp. Jb LB-2014. Its description in RNAcentral is "tRNA-Glu". The record is from RNAcentral. Lineage: Eukaryota; Metazoa; Arthropoda; Insecta; Coleoptera; Lycidae.
AUAGUUUAACAAAAAACGUUACAUUUUCAUUGUAAAAUCAAAUUACCUUUUAUAA